GUUUUAGUAUAAGUAUAUCCCAUGCUAUAUUUGGGAUAUACUUAUCUUAAAA
Non-coding RNA from Papio anubis (olive baboon), 52 nucleotides. Lineage: Eukaryota; Metazoa; Chordata; Mammalia; Primates; Cercopithecidae. The record is from Rfam.